RNAcentral lists this long non-coding RNA (972 nucleotides) under Olea europaea (common olive). RNAcentral describes it as "long non-coding RNA (OEUR_LNC010050)". The record is from RNAcentral. Lineage: Eukaryota; Viridiplantae; Streptophyta; Magnoliopsida; Lamiales; Oleaceae.
AAUAAUGAGAUAUAGGCAUACAGUAACAGACUAACAGUCAACAAAAGUAGAGGCCAAAGCAAAGCUGCAAAACUAACGGCGCGGACGGGCAGCAAAGCAAAAGCUGCAAAACUGUCAUAAAACAUGGAUCAGUCAGACCUCAAAAGCUAGCCAUUGAGGUUGGAGAACUCAAGCCUAUAUAAACCACACAAAAAAAGCUCAUACUUCCGAUGUGGGAUUUAGGUGUCCAUACACCACAAUGGGAACCAUGAGAAACCACCACGCCUCUGACUCAACGUCCAUACACCCUAAGUGGUAACUGAGACCAAAAGACAUGAUGCCUGCUUUGAAAUCAUUGUUAUAGAACUUGAAAGAGCUAGACCUCAUAAGCUAGCCAUUGAGGUUAGAGAAUCCAGGUCUAUAUAAACCAUACAAAGGAAACCCAUACUUUCGAUGUGGGAUUUAGCUGCACAUACACCCCAAUGGGAACCAUGACAAAAACUGAUACCGAUCUUUGGGCUUUGGUUUAGGGUUUGAACUUUGAAUAAUGAAGCGACAGCAUGGCAGACCAGCAGCAAUUGGAGCAGACUGGCAAUCAACGGCGGGAGCUGAAUUGGAAAUGCAGGAGGGAGGAGGCAGGAGGAUGAAUUCAGUGGCGGAAGGGAAGGGAACAGAAGGGUUUUGAUUUUCCAAGGGUAAUGAUUAAUGGGUUAUUUGCUUCAGUGGAAUAGCCGAAUGGGUUUUGGCAUUUUGCAAAGGGCAACAGGAGAAUAGAGAGGCUAAAUCUCAUAUCCACAUGGGUCCUUGUAUUAUAUUAUCCUCUUGGACAAAAUUCAUUUAAAUUUUGGGCCAUAUUGUAAAUUAAUCAAAUUUUUGGGUGCCUAAUGAAAUUAAUUUUGACUGACUCAUUUUCGGAUAAUAUUUUGGUCUGGAUCGUCUAUUAACCAGUUGGCUGUUAACCGACGAAACAAACACAGUACUAAACACUGUUGU